UCUGCCUUCCCUUGACCAUUAGCUCCAGCUAAUAGGACCAGUUUGAACGUGCUCAGGUUAGCCAGAGACAAAGAGCUUGGCUGAAUUUGCUCCGGAGUUUCAAAAGAGAGUUGUGUGCCGGGGAGGGAAAAGCUGGAGCGAGUCUAUUUCAAUUGUUGGUGGUAAGGGGUAGAGGAGCAGACACACGGCAUAACGCAGCGAGCUUUCCGCAGACGGCGCUAAUGACUGAACAACAGUCUGAUGUGGAAGAACUAAAACCUGUAAGGGCUGUCAAUAAAAAAGAAAACAAAGGUUUCCUCCUCCUCAGGUGUUGGAUGCAUUUAUUUGAUUUCUGAAAACUCUCAGAGCACUAGACAGCAUUAAAAAAGAGCGAUCAGUUUUGCAUUAAUUGUAGAAGCGUGUGGCUUUGUGAGAGCAACGGAUGUAAACAAACCCUGCCAUCAAAGAGAUGCUGCCAGAAAAUCUGAAUUAUCAAAAAAGGGGAGUAAUAAUGUAAAGCUUGCUAGUCAGAUGGUCAUUAUUGUAACUUUGCUCCAGUAACUGAAGGCCCUUCCACCUACGUGGCUGCUCCUUCCAGGUUGCAGUGCCCCCUUCCCUCAGCUGGCCUCUCCGGGCUGGAGCAGCCCUCCACCCAACACAGGUCAGAUGGAGAGUAUGGUGCAGAGGAAAAGAAGAAGGCAGGAAAAUCACCCAGUGUAUUGCCACAGACCCCUUCUAAUGAGGUUGAAUAUUUUGAUGACCGGAAAAAAGUUGGUGCUGCCAGGUAAUGUCAGAUAAAAAAUUGCUGAGACCCAUCCAAGCAAACUAGUAAGAAAAUAAAUAUUUAAUACACUUAAUAUCCAGAUUGUGGCCCAGUUUGUGCAGCUGCACAAGGGAAUAAUGGAGUGUCAGACA
This is a non-coding RNA of Pelodiscus sinensis (Chinese soft-shelled turtle), 894 nucleotides long. NCBI's taxonomy places the organism in Eukaryota, Metazoa, Chordata, Testudines, Trionychidae. The record is from RefSeq and is a predicted model, not a curated record.